Molecule: small nuclear RNA, 104 nt
Filed under: Saimiri boliviensis boliviensis (Bolivian squirrel monkey)
Lineage: Eukaryota; Metazoa; Chordata; Mammalia; Primates; Cebidae
Source: RNAcentral
AUGCUCGCUUCGGCAGCACAUAUACUAAAAUUGGAACGAUACAGAGAUUAGCAUGGCCCCUGCACAAGGAUGACGCACAAAUUCAUGAAGCGUUCCAUAUUUAA